This 329-nucleotide unclassified non-coding RNA is filed under the name soil metagenome. Its description in RNAcentral is "partial contains 5.8S ribosomal RNA, internal transcribed spacer 2, and large subunit ribosomal RNA". The stretch from base 1 to 120 matches the Rfam family "5.8S ribosomal RNA", at positions 35 to 154 of the family's 154-position model. The record is from RNAcentral.
GAUGAAGAACGUAGCUAAAUGCGAUAAGUAAUGUGAAUUGCAGAAUUCAGUGAAUCAUCGAAUCUUUGAACGCACAUUGCGCCCCCUGGUAUUCCGGGGGGCAUGCCUGUCCGAGCGUCAUUACAACCCUCAAGCUCAGCUUGGUAUUGGGCCCCGCCGACCCGGCGGGCCCUAAAGUCAGUGGCGGUGCCGUCCGGCUCCGAGCGUAGUAAUUCUUCUCGCUCUGGAGGUCCGGUCGUGUGCUCGCCAGCAACCCCCAAUUUUUUUCAGGUUGACCUCGGAUCAGGUAGGGAUACCCGCUGAACUUAAGCAUAUCAAUAAGCGGAGGA